AAUAGAUACCCGGGUAGUCCACGCCGUAAACGAUGAGUGCUAAGUGUUAGAGGGUUUCCGCCCUUUAGUGCUGCAGCUAACGCAUUAAGCACUCCGCCUGGGGAGUACGGCCGCAAGGCUGAAACUCAAAGGAAUUGACGGGGGCCCGCACAAGCGGUGGAGCAUGUGGUUUAAUUCGAAGCAACGCGAAGAACCUUACCAGGUCUUGACAUCCUCUGCCAACCCUAGAGAUAGGGCGUUCCCCUUCGGGGGACAGAGUGACAGGUGGUGCAUGGUUGUCGUCAGCUCGUGUCGUGAGAUGUUGGGUUAAGUCCCGCAACGAGCGCAACCCUUGAUCUUAGUUGCCAGCAUUCAGUUGGGCACUCUAAGGUGACUGCCGGUGACAAACCGGAGGAAGGUGGGGAUGACGUCAAAUCAUCAUGCCCCUUAUGACCUGGGCUACACACGUGCUACAAUGGAUGGUACAAAGAGCUGCGAACCCGCGGGGGUAAGCGAAUCUCAUAAAGCCAUUCUCAGUUCGGA
RNAcentral lists this ribosomal RNA (522 nucleotides) under uncultured bacterium. RNAcentral's name for it is "bacterial SSU rRNA". It matches the Rfam family "Bacterial small subunit ribosomal RNA", at positions 777 to 1297 of the family's 1533-position model. The record is from RNAcentral.